CGCAGCUUUAAUUUUGGGAAGGCAUGCUCAUGUUUGCUGGAGACACUUGAACCAGUACAUCAGAAAAUCUGAAAUCUUCUCUUAACCAUUCAACAUAUGCAAGAGCAUCUUUUGAUGGUCCACUGAACUGGGCAUUAAUCCCUUGUUCAUUCAGAUAUAUUCGACCAUGGAUGUCAAGACCCUUCAAGAAAGAGAGAUGCUUG
This 203-nucleotide unclassified non-coding RNA is filed under the name Hevea brasiliensis (rubber tree). The record is from RNAcentral. Lineage: Eukaryota; Viridiplantae; Streptophyta; Magnoliopsida; Malpighiales; Euphorbiaceae.